GACGAACGCUGGCGGCGUGCUUAACACAUGCAAGUCGAACGGGAGUAUCGAAGAAGCUUGCUUUUAAGAUACUUUAGUGGCGGACGGGUGAGUAACGCGUGAGGAGCUGUCCUAUGCAGGGGGACAACAGUUGGAAACGACUGCUAAUACCCCAUAAGCCGAGAGGUAAAAGGAUUUAUCCGGCAAAGGAGGUACUCGCGUCCUAUCAGCUAGUAGGUUGGGUAACGGCCGACCUAGGCGAAGACGGGUAGCCGGCCUGAGAGGGCGAACGGCCACACUGGAACUGAGAUACGGUCCAGACUCCUACGGGAGGCAGCAGUGGGGAAUAUUGGGCAAUGGGGGAAACCCUGACCCAGCAACGCCGCGUGAAGGAAGAAGGUUUUCGGAUUGUAAACUUCUGUCCUUGGUGAAGAGAAGAAGACGGUAGCCAAGGAGGAAGCCCCGGCUAACUACGUGCCAGCCGCCGCUGUAA
Molecule: ribosomal RNA, 472 nt
Filed under: uncultured bacterium
Lineage: Bacteria
Description: partial 16S ribosomal RNA
Rfam family: Bacterial small subunit ribosomal RNA
Source: RNAcentral